GAUGAACGCUGGCGGCGUGCCUAAUACAUGCAAGUCGAGCGAGCAGAUAAGGAGCUUGCUCCUUUGACGUUAGCGGCGGACGGGUGAGUAACACGUGGGUAACCUACCUAUAAGACUGGGAUAACUUCGGGAAACCGGAGCUAAUACCGGAUAACAUUUGGAACCGCAUGGUUCUAAAGUGAAAGAUGGUUUUGCUAUCACUUAUAGAUGGACCCGCGCCGUAUUAGCUAGUUGGUAAGGUAACGGCUUACCAAGGCGACGAUACGUAGCCGACCUGAGAGGGUGAUAGGCCACACUGGAACUGAGACACGGUCCAGACUCCUACGGGAGGCAGCAGUAGGGAAUCUUCCGCAAUGGGCGAAAGCCUGACGGAGCAACGCCGCGUGAGUGAUGAAGGGUUUCGGCUCGUAAAACUCUGUUAUUAGGGAAGAACAAACGUGUAAGUAACUGUGCACGUCUUGACGGUACCUAAUCAGAAAGCCACGGCUAACUACGUG
Molecule: ribosomal RNA, 497 nt
Filed under: uncultured bacterium
Lineage: Bacteria
Description: partial 16S ribosomal RNA
Rfam family: Bacterial small subunit ribosomal RNA
Source: RNAcentral